This 497-nucleotide ribosomal RNA is filed under the name uncultured bacterium. RNAcentral describes it as "partial 16S ribosomal RNA". It matches the Rfam family "Bacterial small subunit ribosomal RNA", at positions 28 to 507 of the family's 1533-position model. The record is from RNAcentral.
GAUGAACGCUGGCGGCGUGCCUAAUACAUUCAAGUCGAGCGAACAGACGAGGAGCUUGCUCCUCUGACUUUAGCUGCGGACGGUUGAGUAACACGUGGAUAACCUACCUAUAAGACUGGGAUAACUUCGGGAAACCGGAGCUAAUACCGGAUAAUAUAUUGAACCGCAUGGUUCAAUAGUUAAAGACGGUUUUGCUGUCACUUAUAGAUGGAUCCGCGCCGCAUUAGCUAGUUGGUAAGGUAACGGCUUACCAAGGCAACGAUGCGUAGCCGACCUGAGAGGGUGAUCGGCAACACUGGAACUGAGACACGGUCCAGACUCCUACGGGAAGCAGCAGUAGGGAAUCUUACGAAAUGGGCGAAAGCCUGACGGAGCAACGCCGCGUGAGUGAUGAAGGUCUUCGGAUCGUAAAACUCUGUUAUUAGGGAAGAACAAAUGUGUAAGUAACUAUGCACGUCUUGACGGUACCUAAUCAGAAAGCCACGGCUAACUACGUG